This 694-nucleotide ribosomal RNA is filed under the name uncultured Bacteroidales bacterium. Its description in RNAcentral is "bacterial SSU rRNA". It matches the Rfam family "Bacterial small subunit ribosomal RNA", at positions 32 to 715 of the family's 1533-position model. Lineage: Bacteria; Pseudomonadati; Bacteroidota; Bacteroidia; Bacteroidales. The record is from RNAcentral.
AACGCUAGCUACAGGCUUAACACAUGCAAGUCGAGGGGCAGCAUGAAGUCAGCUUGCUGACUUUGAUGGCGACCGGCGCACGGGUGAGUAACGCGUAUCCAACCUUCCCCUUACUCAGGAAUAGCCCGUUGAAAGACGGAUUAAUGCCUGAUGUUCUCUAUUUCCGGCAUCGGUGAUAGAGCAAAGAUUCAUCGGUAAGGGAUGGGGAUGCGUAUGAUUAGCUUGUUGGCGGGGUAACGGCCCACCAAGGCAACGAUCAUUAGGGGUUCUGAGAGGAAGGUCCCCCACACUGGAACUGAGACACGGUCCAGACUCCUACGGGAGGCAGCAGUGAGGAAUAUUGGUCAAUGGAGGCAACUCUGAACCAGCCAAGUAGCGUGCAGGACGACGGCCCUAUGGGUUGUAAACUGCUUUUAUGCGGGGAUAAAUGAUCCUACGUGUAGGUUUUUGCAGGUACCGCAUGAAUAAGGACCGGCUAAUUCCGUGCCAGCAGCCGCGGUAAUACGGAAGGUCCAGGCGUUAUCCGGAUUUAUUGGGUUUAAAGGGAGCGUAGGCGGCCUGUUAAGCGUGUUGUGAAAUGUAGAGGCUCAACCUCUGCACUGCAGCGCGAACUGGCGGGCUUGAGUUGGCUGAAAGUAUGCGGAAUUCGUGGUGUAGCGGUGAAAUGCUUAGAUAUCACGAAGAACUCCGAUUG